AUACGGAGGGUGCGAGCGUUAAUCGGAAUUACUGGGCGUAAAGCGUGCGUAGGCGGUUUGUUAAGCAAGAUGUGAAAGCCCAGGGCUCAACCUUGGAACUGCAUUUUGAACUGGCAAACUAGAGUAUUGUAGAGGGUGGUGGAAUUUCCAGUGUAGCGGUGAAAUGCGUAGAGAUUGGAAGGAACAUCAGUGGCGAAGGCGGCCACCUGGACAAAUACUGACGCUGAGGUACGAAAGCGUGGGGAGCGACCAGGAUUAGAUACCCUGGUAGUCCACGCCGUAAACGAUGUCAACUAGCUGUCUGUGGACUUGAUCCGUGGGUAGCGUAGCUAACGCGCUAAGUUGACCGCCUGGGGAGUACGGCCGCAAGGUUAAAACUCAAAUGAAUUGACGGGGGCCCGCACAAGCGGUGGAGCAUGUGGUUUAAUUCGAUGCAACGCGAAGAACCUUACCAUCCCUUGACAUCCAGAGAAUUUACUAGAGAUAGUUUAGUGCCUUCGGGAACUCUGAGACAGGUGC
This 519-nucleotide ribosomal RNA is filed under the name uncultured Colwelliaceae bacterium. RNAcentral's name for it is "bacterial SSU rRNA". It matches the Rfam family "Bacterial small subunit ribosomal RNA", at positions 523 to 1041 of the family's 1533-position model. Lineage: Bacteria; Pseudomonadati; Pseudomonadota; Gammaproteobacteria; Alteromonadales; Colwelliaceae. The record is from RNAcentral.